AGCGAACGCUGGCGGCAGGCUUAACACAUGCAAGUCGAGCGGGCGUAGCAAUACGUCAGCGGCAGACGGGUGAGUAACGCGUGGGAACAUACCUUUUGGUUCGGAACAACACAGGGAAACUUGUGCUAAUACCGGAUAAGCCCUUACGGGAAAGAUUUAUCGCCGAAGAUUGGCCCGCGUCUGAUUAGCUAGUUGGUGAGGUAAUGGCUCACCAAGGCGACGAUCAGUAGCUGGUCUGAGAGGAUGAUCAGCCACAUUGGGACUGAGACACGGCCCAAACUCCUACGGGAGGCAGCAGUGGGGAAUAUUGGACAAUGGGGGCGAACCCUGAUCCAGCCAUGCCGCGUGAGUGAUGAAGGCCCUAGGGUUGUAAAGCUCUUUUGUGCGGGAAGAUAAUGACGGUACCGCAAGAAUAAGCCCCGGCUAACUACGUG
This 434-nucleotide ribosomal RNA is filed under the name uncultured bacterium. Its description in RNAcentral is "bacterial SSU rRNA". It matches the Rfam family "Bacterial small subunit ribosomal RNA", at positions 29 to 507 of the family's 1533-position model. The record is from RNAcentral.